This 2299-nucleotide small RNA is filed under the name Pan troglodytes (chimpanzee). RNAcentral describes it as "processed transcript". Lineage: Eukaryota; Metazoa; Chordata; Mammalia; Primates; Hominidae. The record is from RNAcentral.
GUGCAUACGGCUGCCGGCAUGGCGCAUUACAACUUCAAGAAAAUUACGGUGGUGCCGUCCGCCAAGGACUUUAUAGACCUCACGUUGUCGAAGACUCAACGAAAGACUCCAACCGUUAUUCAUAAACAUUACCAAAUACAUCGCAUUAGACAUUUUUACAUGAGAAAAGUCAAAUUUACUCAACAGAAUUACCAUGAUAGACUUUCACAAAUUCUAACAGAUUUCCCUAAAUUGGAUUGUUGCUAAAGAUUAUGUGCGACUGAUGAAGUAUGGCGACUCUCUCUACCGCUGCAAACAGCUGAAGCGUGCGGCCCUGGGACGGAUGUGCACAGUGAUCAAGAGGCAGAAGCAGAGUUUGGAGUAUUUGGAGCAAGGUGCUUGUCACGCAUCCGCGGGAACCGUGCUAGCAUCCUGCUGAGAGGAUGCGUCCUUGUUGAGGACUUGAGAUGUCUGUUUUUGUUGUAUUUUGGAGAUGACAGGGUCAGUUAUUCUUCCUAGCCUUACCUAUGAGAAACAGUAAUAGGCUGGUUUUUAUUGAAAAUAAAUACUUACAAAUCAGUAGCACUGAUAAGAAAAUUUAUAUAUUUCAUAUUUAAUAGGUAAGGCAUACACAAAAAAGUCACGAGAAAAUACUGAAAAGUAUAAAAACUAAGGUGGCUCAUCGUUUAUUAUUCACUUUUUUAUUUUUAAAAAUACUUGUAUUUAAUAGGACUUUCUGAAUUAAUGUACUAGGAUUCUGUUGAAACAAUUACUUGCUUAUUGUGUGUAUUCUUACAUGACAAAUUAUUUUGACUCAUUCGGUUUUGUUUUCUCUCCUGCAUCUUAGAAAUAAUUUUUAACAAAAUUUGUGAUACUUGGAUGCCUUGCAGGUGCUUUGCUACAGAUCUGUGUGGUCUUCAUGAUGGCCGGGGUGCCACCCUGGAGCCGUGUUUGUUACAGACGAGGUGGCAGAAUGGCAGUAACCCAUGUCGUAGCCCAAACGGCAUGGCCUGCAGGCUUCAAAGUGCACUGGUUCCCUAAUGUCAUCUUGCUAAUGAGAAUUGUCUGGACACUGCCAGACAUGCUGUUGGCCCCACCUUUCACCUAAUGAAUUAAAACAUGGGCUUAGAAGGGCUGAGGAAUAUGAUUCUUACUAGAGCCAAACUUGGGAAAUAACAAUUGAAUAUACUAUGUGUAUACUAUUACUUUCUGCAACUAUUUUCUCCAUCACUUUUGCAUUACAAAAGUUGGAGUAAGAUUAAUAUCACCACAGGCCUGGACUGUAACUAAGUUGAAAACAAAAUUUAAAGCAAAUCUUAAACUUUGAGUUUCUUAAUUUUUCAAUUUGAACUUUUCCUAGUGCGUCAGCAUUUAUCCCGUUUGCCAACCAUUGAUCCGAAUACCAGGACCCUGCUUUUGUGUGGGUACCCAAAUGUUGGGAAGUCCAGCUUCAUCAACAAGGUGACGAGAGCAGAUGUGGAUGUCCAGCCCUAUGCGUUCACAACCAAGUCUCUGUUUGUUGGGCACAUGGAUUAUAAGUAUCUACGUUGGCAGGUUGUAGACACUCCUGGGAUCCUGGACCACCCUCUGGAGGAUAGGAACACCAUCGAGAUGCAGGCCAUCACCGCCCUGGCCCACCUCCGUGCUGCGGUCCUGUAUGUGAUGGAUUUGUCUGAGCAGUGUGGGCAUGGGCUGAGGGAGCAGCUAGAACUCUUCCAGAACAUCAGACCUCUCUUCAUCAACAAGGUGCGUGUGGUCACUCAUGUUUUGCUUCAUAUCCUGCAGUACGAGAAUAAUGAUUUCAUUAUUUUUCUUCCUUGCCUAGCCUCUCAUAGUUGUAGCCAACAAAUGUGAUGUGAAGAGAAUAGCUGAACUUUCUGAAGAUGAUCAGAAAAUAUUUACAGAUCUGCAGUCUGAAGGAUUCCCUGUAAUAGAGACCAGCACCCUGACUGAGGAAGGUGUUAUUAAAGUUAAAACAGAGGCUUGCGAUAGGCUUUUGGCUCAUCGAGUGGAAACCAAAAUGAAGGGAAAUAAAGUGAAUGAGGUGCUGAAUAGACUGCAUCUGGCUAUCCCAACCAGGAGGGACGAUAAGGAGAGGCCCCCUUUCAUCCCUGAAGGAGUGGUGGCUCGCAGGAAGAGGAUGGAAACUGAGGAGUCCAAGAAGAAGAGGGAACGAGAUCUUGAGCUGGAAAUGGGAGAUGAUUAUAUUUUGGAUCUUCAGAAGUACUGGGAUUUAAUGAAUUUGUCUGAAAAACAUGAUAAGAUACCAGAAAUCUGGGAAGGCCAUAAUAUAGCUGAUUAUAUUGAUCCAGCCAUCAUG